UACUGCUAUUGACAAUAGUAUUUUGGGAAGC
Molecule: non-coding RNA, 31 nt
Filed under: Rattus norvegicus (Norway rat)
Lineage: Eukaryota; Metazoa; Chordata; Mammalia; Rodentia; Muridae
Source: RNAcentral